UCAUUAUCAAACAUCCAUUUACCUUGUAUUAGUUAUUCUUUAAUGAAGAGGUUUAUGAAUUUUAUGUUUUUAAAUCAGAUAUUUUAUGUUGUGGAACGUCAUGAACGUUCGUGUUAUUUCGAGUUUGCUCUCUGGUUUGACCCAUUCCAGGUGUAAAAAAUUAACCAUGUUUUUCUUUACGUGGGAAUAUUCUAUGUUGAUGGUUUACACACAGACUGGGUAGUAGUUAUUCGGGUCACAAACUAUUAUUCAAUCUCUGAAUUUAGGUAGUCGUGCAUCAGUAAAUGAUUAUUAAUUUGGUAAGAAAAUGCUGAUCAUUUUUUACGUGGGAUAGUGGCUGUAGGAACUCUUGCUUAAGUAUGACUGGAUCUUAAUCUCAACUUGUUGUUGUGAUCAGUUGUAGUUUUUAACUGGGUUUUGCAGGUGCCUUUUUUGGUGGGGCUGGUUUACUGGCUAGUGAUUUGUAUUGCUUAUCCAAGCUUAACUGUUGCUACUAUUACAUUGAGUAAUUAAAAUUUCUGCGAAGAACUUGAACUACUGCUGUAUUAUUUCUGACUUUGUUGUGGUCGAUAUCCACCCUUGAUUCUGUAGGUUGGAUUAUAUGGCUGAUAUGGAUGUUUCUUUCUCGGGCUGGAACCUUGUCUCGUCAGGUGGUGCAUGAGAUAGGUAGACGACAUCCUGACAAAAUACACAGAAAACAAUAAAUGGAAGCUGACAUUUGAGUUUCUAUUUGUCAACAAUUUAUGAUAAUUCCGUUUCAGUAAAGAAUUCACGCUUAUCUUAGUACAACUGCUUCGUAUGGAUGAAACAGCGGCAAAUGUCACAAUUGAGCCGACUAUAAUAACGGGAAAGGAGUUCUGUUUUGCAGUCAGUUGGAGGGGCGGCUGAAGCUGUCACCAUAGUUGAUUAUUCUCAUGUUUUCAAAAGAAAUUUCUAUCUGGGUUUGAUUUCUGUGGCUCUGUUUCCCCAUGACUUGUGAUAAAAUCGUGUAUAUUGUGCCGAUACUCUGGCUGUAACGAAUGUUAAAAUUGUAUGAUAAAUGAUUAAUAAAACAUUUAGAAUAAUA
RNAcentral lists this long non-coding RNA (1066 nucleotides) under Daphnia magna. Its description in RNAcentral is "uncharacterized LOC116920029, transcript variant X10". The record is from RNAcentral. Lineage: Eukaryota; Metazoa; Arthropoda; Branchiopoda; Diplostraca; Daphniidae.